Molecule: ribosomal RNA, 451 nt
Filed under: uncultured bacterium
Lineage: Bacteria
Description: partial 16S ribosomal RNA
Rfam family: Bacterial small subunit ribosomal RNA
Source: RNAcentral
AGUGAACGCUGGCGGCGUGCCUAAUACAUGCAAGUCGAACGGUAACAGGAAGUAGCUUGCUACUUUGCUGAUUAGUGGCGCACGUGUGAGUAAUGCAUAGGUCAUGUGCCCCAUAGUCUGGGAUAGCCACUGGAAACGGUGAUUAAUACUGGAUACUCCCGAGAGGGGAAAGUUUUUCGCUAUGGGAUCAGCCUAUGUCCUAUCAGCUUGUUGGUGAGGUAAUGGCUCACCAAGGCUAUGACGGGUAUCCGGCCUGAGAGGGUGAACGGACACACUGGAACUGAGACACGGUCCAGACUCCUACGGGAGGCAGCAGUAGGGAAUAUUGCUCAAUGGGGGAAACCCUGAAGCAGCAACGCCGCGUGGAGGAUGAAGGUCUUCGGAUUGUAAACUCCUUUUCUAAGAGAAGAUUAUGACGGUAUCUUAGGAAUAAGCACCGGCUAACUCCGUG